UACGGGGGAGCAAGCGUUGUUCGGAUUUACUGGGCGUAAAGGGCGCGUAGGCGGUCGUGACAAGUCACUUGUGAAAUCUCCGGGCUUAACUCGGAACGGUCAAGUGAUACUGUCGGACUAGAGUACAGAAGGGGCAAACUGGAAUUCUCGGUGUAGCUGGUGAAAUGCGUAGAUAUCGAGAGGAACACCUGGCGGCGAAGGCGGGUGCUGGCUGAUACUGACGCUGAGGCGCGAAAGCCAGGGAGCGAACGGG
RNAcentral lists this ribosomal RNA (253 nucleotides) under uncultured bacterium. RNAcentral describes it as "partial 16S ribosomal RNA". It matches the Rfam family "Bacterial small subunit ribosomal RNA", at positions 524 to 776 of the family's 1533-position model. The record is from RNAcentral.